GAGGAAGUAAAAGUCGUAACAAGGUUUCCGUAGGUGAACCUGCGGAAGGAUCAUUAAAGAGUAAGGGUGCUCAGCGCCCGACCUCCCAACCCUUUGUUGUUAAAACUACCUUGUUGCUUUGGCGGGACCGCUCGGUCUCGAGCCGCUGGGGAUUCGUCCCAGGCGAGCGCCCGCCAGAGUUAAACCAAACUCUUGUUAUUUAACCGGUCGUCUGAGUUAAAAUUUUGAAUAAAUCAAAACUUUCAACAACGGAUCUCUUGGUUCUCGCAUCGAUGAAGAACGCAGCGAAAUGCGAUAAGUAAUGUGAAUUGCAGAAUUCAGUGAAUCAUCGAAUCUUUGAACGCACAUUGCGCCCCUUGGUAUUCCGAGGGGCAUGCCUGUUCGAGCGUCAUUACACCACUCAAGCUAUGCUUGGUAUUGGGCGUCGUCCUUAGUUGGGCGCGCCUUAAAGACCUCGGCGAGGCCACUCCGGCUUUAGGCGUAGUAGAAUUUAUUCGAACGUCUGUCAAAGGAGAGGAACUCUGCCGACUGAAACCUUUAUUUUUCUAGGUUGACCUCGGAUCAGGUAGGGAUACCCGCUGAACUUAAGCAUAUCAAUAAGCGGAGG
This 607-nucleotide ribosomal RNA is filed under the name fungal sp. APA-2013. Its description in RNAcentral is "eukaryotic LSU rRNA". The stretch from base 238 to 391 matches the Rfam family "5.8S ribosomal RNA". The record is from RNAcentral. Lineage: Eukaryota; Fungi.